UAAUACAGAGGUGGCAAGCGUUGUUCGGAAUUACUGGGCGUAAAGGGCGCGUAGGCGGCCCGUCAAGUCCCGUGUGAAAGCCCCCGGCUCAACCGGGGAACUGCACGGGAAACUAGCAGGCUUGAGUUCGGGAGAGGGAAGCGGAAUUUCGGGUGUAGCGGUGAAAUGCGCAGAUAUCCGAAGGAACACCGGUGGCGAAGGCGGCUUCCUGGACCGACACUGACGCUGAGGCGCGAAAGCUAGGGGAGCAAACGGGAUUAGAUACCCCGGUAGUCCUAGCCCUAAACGAUGAGAACUGGGUGUAGAGGGUAUGAACCCCCUCUGUGCCGAAGCUAACGCAUUAAGUUCUCCGCCUGGGGAGUACGGUCGCAAGGCUGAAACUCAAAUGAAUUGACGG
Molecule: ribosomal RNA, 397 nt
Filed under: uncultured bacterium
Lineage: Bacteria
Description: bacterial SSU rRNA
Rfam family: Bacterial small subunit ribosomal RNA
Source: RNAcentral